RNAcentral lists this ribosomal RNA (1355 nucleotides) under uncultured organism. RNAcentral's name for it is "bacterial SSU rRNA". It matches the Rfam family "Bacterial small subunit ribosomal RNA". The record is from RNAcentral.
CGCUAGCGGUGCGCCUACACAUGCAAGUCGAGCGAGAAGUUUUUCUAGCUUGCUAGAAGAAAUAGACAGCGGCGAACGGGUGAGUAACACGUUGGUAUCUGCCCCCAAGUCAGGGAUAGCCAGGAGAAAUCCUGAUUAAUACCGGAUAGUCUCUACGGAGUAAAAAUUUAUUGCUUGGGGAGGAGCCUGCGUCCUAUCAGCUAGUUGGUAAGGUAAAAGCUUACCAAGGCAAUGACGGGUAGCUGGUCUGAGAGGAUGAUCAGCCACAAUGAAACUGAGACACGGUUCAUACUCCUACGGGAGGCAGCAGUGAGGAAUCUUCCACAAUGGACGCAAGUCUGAUGGAGCGACACCGCGUGAAGGAUGAAGGCCUAACGGUUGUAAACUUCUUUUCUGAAGGAGCACAAAUGAGAGUACUUCAGGAAUAAGGGACGGCUAAAUACGUGCCAGCAGCCGCGGUAAUACGUAUGUCUCAAGCGUUAUCCGGAAUUACUGGGUGUAAAGGGUUCGUAGGCGGCAAGAUAAGUUGGAUAUGAAAGACCGGGGCUUAACCCCGAGUUUGUGUUCAAAACUGUCUAGCUAGAAUUAGGGAGAGGUAAGCAGAAUUCUAAGUGUAGGGGUGCAAUCCGUAGAUACUUAGAGGAAUACCAAAAGCGAAGGCAGCUUACUGGAACUAUAUUGACGCUGAGGAACGAAAGCGUGGGUAGCGAAAAGGAUUAGAUACCCUUGUAGUCCACGCCCUAAACGAUGAUAACUGAGUGUUGGGAUUUUAAUCUCAGUGCUGAAGCAAACGCGAUAAGUUAUCCACCUGAGGAGUACGGUCGCAAGAUUAAAACUCAAAGGAAUAGACGGGGACCCACACAAGCAGUGGAUCACGUGGUUUAAUUCGACAAUAAACGGGGAAUCUUACCCAGACUUGACAUCUAUAGAAUACUUCAGAAAUGAAGUAGUGCCCGUAAGGGAGCUAUAAGACAGGUGCUGCAUGGUCGUCGUCAGCUCGUGCCUUGAGGUGUUCGGUUAAGUCCGUUAACGAGCGCAACCCAUGUCAUUACUUAGAAAUGUGUAAUGAGACUGCCUAGGUUAACUAGGAGGAAGGUGUGGAUGACGUCAGAUCAGCAUGGCUUUUACGUCUGGGGCUACACACAUGAUACAAUGGUAUGUACAAAAAGCAGCAAUAUCGUAAGAUGGAGCUAAUCUUUUAAAUCAUAUCUCAGUCCGGAUUGAGGUCUGAAACUCGACCUCAUGAAGUUGGAAUUGCUAGUCCUCGCGCAUCAGAUAUGUCACGGUGAAUAUGUUCCUGGGUCUUGUACUCACCGCCCGUCACGGCAUGGGAGGUAGUAAUAUCGGAAGUCCCC